CCUACGGGUGGCAGCAGUGAGGAAUAUUGGUCAAUGGGCGAGCGCCUGAACCAGCCAAGUCGCGUGAAGGAUGAAGGAUCCAUGGUUUGUAAACUUCUUUUAUAUGGGAAUAAAGUGAGGAACGUGUUCCUUUGUGUAUGUACCAUCUGAAUAAGCAUCGGCUAACUCCGUGCCAGCAGCCGCGGUGAUACGGAGGAUGCGAGCGUUAUCCGAAUUUAUUGGGUUUAAAGGGUGCGAAGGUGGUUAAUUAAGUCAGCGGGUAAAGUUCGGGGGUCAAACAUAAAAUUGCCGUUGAAACUGGUUGACUUGAGUAGACUAGAGGUAGGCGGAAUGCGUGGUGUAGCGGUGAAAUGCAUAGAUAUCGCGCAGAACUCCGAUUGCGAAGGCAGCUUACUAAAC
RNAcentral lists this ribosomal RNA (399 nucleotides) under uncultured bacterium. RNAcentral describes it as "partial 16S ribosomal RNA". It matches the Rfam family "Bacterial small subunit ribosomal RNA", at positions 338 to 734 of the family's 1533-position model. The record is from RNAcentral.